This 765-nucleotide long non-coding RNA is filed under the name Monodelphis domestica (gray short-tailed opossum). Its description in RNAcentral is "lncRNA (ENSMODG00000051410.1)". The record is from RNAcentral. Lineage: Eukaryota; Metazoa; Chordata; Mammalia; Didelphimorphia; Didelphidae.
UUAUAUAAUCAGACCUGCACUUUAGGAAAAUCGUUUUGUUUUUCUUUCAGAUGAGUGGAGGAUGGACUAACAUGGGUAGAGAUGAGAAAGGAGGUCAACCAGGUGUCUAUUACAACAGUUGGGACAGGAAGUGAUGGGGACUUGUACCAGGAUAACAGUUACUUGAAGGGAAAGAAAAAGACAUAUGCAAGAAUGAUCGAAAAGGUCCCCUGCCACAUGGAGGCUGAAGGAAAGAACACCCCAGUUUUUACCAGUUGGUUUGUGAAUCUGAAGACACAGAGGCAGCAACUAGCAGCCUGGCACCUGGGGCUGGGGCUGGAUGAGAGAUUGGGUCUGGCCAGGGCCAGAUUCUCUUUCUCUCCUGAUUCUCCCAUCUUCUUGAAAAGGUCAUCACCAACAAAGCUGUGAUUGACAGCCAACCCCAAGUCCACUGGAAGAACCUUGACAAGGAGGCCAGUUUAAAAAGGCAGAGUUCAAGGAAAAUGUCUCAAGCAUUGCAAGUUUAAUGCCAACAUGGCUUAUAAAAGCUAUCAAGUUCAAAUUAAAAUCAAUCCGCAAGUUUACAGGUAACUCAAGUGGUGAGCACAAGGCCAGAUCUCUAGAAAACCUCUUAAUCCAAGGAGAAAUCAUCCUUUGGAAUUCAACAAAGAGGAAUGAAAAUGCUUGUAGUGGUAACUGACAAACUGUCAGUCUUCUUAAGUGUUUGUGAUAUUCCUUAUCUUCCACUAAAAUAAAAUAUUUAAUUUUAAUGAAAAUGUAUUUAGU